This 72-nucleotide transfer RNA is filed under the name Ictidomys tridecemlineatus (thirteen-lined ground squirrel). RNAcentral's name for it is "Spermophilus tridecemlineatus (thirteen-lined ground squirrel) tRNA". It matches the Rfam family "tRNA". Rfam says of the family: Transfer RNA (tRNA) molecules are approximately 80 nucleotides in length. Their secondary structure includes four short double-helical elements and three loops (D, anti-codon, and T loops). Further hydrogen bonds mediate the characteristic L-shaped molecular structure. tRNAs have two regions of fundamental functional importance: the anti-codon, which is responsible for specific mRNA codon recognition, and the 3' end, to which the tRNAs corresponding amino acid is attached (by aminoacyl-tRNA synthetases). tRNAs cope with the degeneracy of the genetic code in two manners: having more than one tRNA (with a specific anti-codon) for a particular amino acid; and 'wobble' base-pairing, i.e. permitting non-standard base-pairing at the 3rd anti-codon position. Lineage: Eukaryota; Metazoa; Chordata; Mammalia; Rodentia; Sciuridae. The record is from Rfam by way of RNAcentral.
UGGGAUGUGGCUCAGUGGUAGAGCACUUGCUUAGCAUGCAUGAGGCCCUGGAUUUGAUCCUCAGUACCACAC